This 254-nucleotide ribosomal RNA is filed under the name uncultured bacterium. Its description in RNAcentral is "partial 16S ribosomal RNA". It matches the Rfam family "Bacterial small subunit ribosomal RNA", at positions 524 to 776 of the family's 1533-position model. The record is from RNAcentral.
GACAGAGGGGGCAAGCGUUGCUCGGAAUUACUGGGCGUAAAGGGCGCGUAGGCGGGAUGGCAAGUCGGUCGUGAAAUCCCUCGGCUCAACCGAGGAACGUCGAUCGAUACUGCUGUUCUUUGAGGAUUGCAGAGGAGACUGGAAUUCCCGGUGUAGCGGUGAAAUGCGUAGAUAUCUGGAGGAAUACCGGUGGCGAAGGCGGCAUCCUGGACCGGCAUUGACGCUGAGGAGCGAAAGCUAGGGGAGCAAACGGG